AGCGAACGCUGGCGGCAGGCUUAACACAUGCAAGUCGAGCGGGCAUAGCAAUAUGUCAGCGGCAGACGGGUGAGUAACGCGUGGGAACGUACCUUUUGGUUCGGAACAACUGAGGGAAACUUCAGCUAAUACCGGAUAAGCCCUUACGGGGAAAGAUUUAUCGCCGAAAGAUCGGCCCGCUUCUGAUUAGCUAGUUGGUGAGGUAAUGGCUCACCAAGGCGACGAUCAGUAGCUGGUCUGAGAGGAUGAUCAGCCACAUUGGGCAUGAGACAAGGCCCAAACUCGUACGGGAGGCAGCAGCGGGGAAUAGUGGACAAUGGGCGCAAGCCUGAUCCAGCCAUGCCGCGUGAGUGAUGAAGGCCCUAGGGUUGUAAAGCUCUUUUGUGCGGGAAGAUAAUGACGGUACCGCAAGAAUAAGCCCCGGCUAACUUCGUGCCAGCAGCCGCAGUAA
RNAcentral lists this ribosomal RNA (451 nucleotides) under uncultured bacterium. RNAcentral describes it as "partial 16S ribosomal RNA". It matches the Rfam family "Bacterial small subunit ribosomal RNA", at positions 29 to 523 of the family's 1533-position model. The record is from RNAcentral.